AGUUUGAUCAUGGCUCAGAUUGAACGCUGGCGGCAGGCCUAACACAUGCAAGUCGAGCGGAAACGACACUAACAAUCCUUCGGGUGCGUUAAUGGGCGUCGAGCGGCGGACGGGUGAGUAAUGCCUAGGAAAUUGCCUUGAUGUGGGGGAUAACCAUUGGAAACGAUGGCUAAUACCGCAUAAUGCCUACGGGCCAAAGAGGGGGACCUUCGGGCCUCUCGCGUCAAGAUAUGCCUAGGUGGGAUUAGCUAGUUGGUGAGGUAAUGGCUCACCAAGGCGACGAUCCCUAGCUGGUCUGAGAGGAUGAUCAGCCACACUGGAACUGAGACACGGUCCAGACUCCUACGGGAGGCAGCAGUGGGGAAUAUUGCACAAUGGGCGAAAGCCUGAUGCAGCCAUGCCGCGUGUAUGAAGAAGGCCUUCGGGUUGUAAAGUACUUUCAGUUGUGAGGAAGGGGGUGAAGUUAAUAGCNGCAUCUCUUGACGUUAGCAACAGAAGAAGCACCGGCUAACUCCGUGC
RNAcentral lists this ribosomal RNA (519 nucleotides) under Vibrio sp. RNAcentral describes it as "bacterial SSU rRNA". It matches the Rfam family "Bacterial small subunit ribosomal RNA", at positions 10 to 508 of the family's 1533-position model. The record is from RNAcentral. Lineage: Bacteria; Pseudomonadati; Pseudomonadota; Gammaproteobacteria; Vibrionales; Vibrionaceae.